AAUGUGGCGCAUGCCACGCUUUUGAAAGAUGGUUUCGGCUAUCGCUUACAGAUGGGCCCGCGGUGCAUUAGCUAGUUGGUAGGGUAAUGGCCUACCAAGGCAACGAUGCAUAGCCGACCUGAGAGGGUGAUCGGCCACACUGGGACUGAGACACGGCCCAGACUCCUACGGGAGGCAGCAGUAGGGAAUCUUCCGCAAUGGACGAAAGUCUGACGGAGCAACGCCGCGUGUAUGAAGAAGGUUUUCGGAUCGUAAAGUACUGUUGUUAGAGAAGAACAAGGAUAAGAGUAACUGCUUGUCCCUUGACGGUAUCUAACCAGAAAGCCACGGCUAACUACGUGCCAGCAGCCGCGGUAAUACGUAGGUGGCAAGCGUUGUCCGGAUUUAUUGGGCGUAAAGCGCGCGCAGGCGGUCUUUUAAGUCUGAUGUGAAAGCCCCCGGCUUAACCGGGGAGGGUCAUUGGAAACUGGAAGACUGGAGUGCAGAAGAGGAGAGUGGAAUUCCACGUGUAGCGGUGAAAUGCGUAGAUAUGUGGAGGAACACCAGUGGCGAAGGCGACUCUCUGGUCUGUAACUGACGCUGAGGC
This 586-nucleotide ribosomal RNA is filed under the name Listeria monocytogenes. RNAcentral describes it as "bacterial SSU rRNA". It matches the Rfam family "Bacterial small subunit ribosomal RNA", at positions 180 to 752 of the family's 1533-position model. The record is from RNAcentral. Lineage: Bacteria; Bacillati; Bacillota; Bacilli; Caryophanales; Listeriaceae.